Molecule: non-coding RNA, 953 nt
Filed under: Chlorocebus sabaeus (green monkey)
Lineage: Eukaryota; Metazoa; Chordata; Mammalia; Primates; Cercopithecidae
Source: Rfam by way of RNAcentral
AAACAGAUAGGUUUGGCCCUGGCCAUUUUAUUAGCUCUUAGUAAGAUUAUACAUGCAAGCAUACCUGCCCCAGUGAAAAUGCCAUCAGAGCAGGUAUGAAGCAUAAAUACAGCUCAAAACACUUUAACCACACCCCCACAGGAAACAGCAAUGAUAAAUCUUUAUUGAUAAACAAAAGUUUAGGCUAUACUAAUAGUUAGGGUUGGUCAAUUUCGUGCCAGCCACCACACGAUUAACCUGAGUUAAUGGAACUCAGCGUAAAGUGUUUAAGGUCUGCCCUCAGUAAAGCUAAAAACCCCAUCUAAGUUGUAAAAAACUCCAGUUGAAAUAAAAUAUACUACAAAAGUGGCUUUAAGACCCUGAAAACACAAUAGCUAAAACCGAAACUGGGAUUAGAUACCCCACUAUGCUUAGCCCUCAACUCUAAGAGUUACAUGAACAAAACCAUUUGCCUGAGUACUUAAGCAACAGCUUAAAACUCAGUUUAAAACUCAAAGGACUUGGCAGUGCUUUAUAUCCCUCUAGAUAUCCCUCUAGAGGAGCCUGUUCUAUAAUUGAUGAACCCCAAUACACCUCACCACCUCUUGCCCCCAGCCUAUAUACCGCCAUCUUCAGCAAACCCCCAAAAAGUUUAUUGAGUAAGCACAAGUACAUACAUAAAAACGUUAGGUCAAGGUGUAGCCCAUGAGAUGGCAAGAAAUGGGAUACAUUUUCUAUGUCUAGAAAAUCUCACAAAAACGUUUAUGAAAUCUAAGGGCUCAGGAGGAUUUAGCAAUAAACCAAGAGCAGAGUGCUUGGUUGAAUAAGGCUAUGAAGCAUGCACACACCGCCCAUCACCCUCCUCAAAUAUUCCUCUAGAAAUCACUAUUACUAAUAAUUUUCUAUGCAUGUGUAAAGGAGAUAAGUCAUAACAUGUUAAGUGUACUAGUAAGUGGGCUUGGACAAACCGAAGU